Molecule: non-coding RNA, 23 nt
Filed under: Cricetulus griseus (Chinese hamster)
Lineage: Eukaryota; Metazoa; Chordata; Mammalia; Rodentia; Cricetidae
Source: RNAcentral
CCGAAUAGAAGUUAAUGUGGAAC